CCUACGGGAGGCAGCAGUGAGGAAUAUUGGUCAAUGGACGGAAGUCUGAACCAGCCAUGCCGCGUGCAGGAAGACGGCUCUAUGAGUUGUAAACUGCUUUUGUACAAGGGUAAACCUGAAUACGUGUAUUCAGCUGAAAGUACUGUACGAAUAAGGAUCGGCUAACUCCGUGCCAGCAGCCGCGGUAAUACGGAGGAUCCAAGCUUUAUCCGGAUUUAUUGGGUUUAAAGGGUGCGUAGGCGGGUUGAUAAGUUGGAGGUGAAAUUUCCGGGCUUAACUUGGGAACUGCCUAUAAUAUUGUUGAUCUAGAGAGUAGAUGCGGUAGGCGGAAUGUAUGGUGGAGCGGUGAAAUGCUUAGAGAUCAUACAGAACACCGAUUGCGAAGGCAGCUUACCAAUCUAUAUCUGACGUUGAGGCACGAAAGCGUGGGGAGCAAACAGGAUUAGAUACCCUUGUAGUC
RNAcentral lists this ribosomal RNA (460 nucleotides) under uncultured bacterium. RNAcentral describes it as "partial 16S ribosomal RNA". It matches the Rfam family "Bacterial small subunit ribosomal RNA", at positions 338 to 795 of the family's 1533-position model. The record is from RNAcentral.